This is a small nuclear RNA of Salvia splendens (bonfire salvia), 103 nucleotides long. The record is from RefSeq and is a predicted model, not a curated record. NCBI's taxonomy places the organism in Eukaryota, Viridiplantae, Streptophyta, Magnoliopsida, Lamiales, Lamiaceae.
GUCCCUUCAGGGACAUCCGAUAAAAUUGGAACGAUACAGAGAAAAUUAGCAUGAUCCCUGCGCAAGGAUGAUAAGCAUAAAUCGAGAUAUGGUAAGAUACUAG